This 310-nucleotide ribosomal RNA is filed under the name uncultured bacterium. Its description in RNAcentral is "partial 16S ribosomal RNA". It matches the Rfam family "Bacterial small subunit ribosomal RNA", at positions 503 to 807 of the family's 1533-position model. The record is from RNAcentral.
AAGGGACAGCAGUCGCCGCGGUAAUACAGAGGGUGCGAGCGUUAAUCGGAUUUACUGGGCGUAAAGCGUGCGUAGGCGGCUUCUUAAGUCGGAUGUGAAAUCCCUGAGCUUAACUUAGGAAUUGCAUUCGAUACUGGGAAGCUAGAGUAUGGGAGAGGAUGGUAGAAUUCCAGGUGUAGCGGUGAAAUGCGUAGAGAUCUGGAGGAAUACCGAUGGCGAAGGCAGCCAUCUGGCCUAAUACUGACGCUGAGGUACGAAAGCAUGGGGAGCAAACAGGAUUAGAGACCCCUGUAGUCCCUGUCUCUUAUAC